This 2820-nucleotide long non-coding RNA is filed under the name Sus scrofa (pig). Its description in RNAcentral is "lncRNA (ENSSSCG00035073554.1)". The record is from RNAcentral. Lineage: Eukaryota; Metazoa; Chordata; Mammalia; Artiodactyla; Suidae.
UUUCUUUCUUCCUUUCUUUCUUUUUCUUUCUUUCUUUUUUUGGUUACACCCAUAGCAUGUGGAAAUUCCUGGGCCAGGGAUGGAACCCACGCCACAGCAGGGAACCAAGCCACUACAGAGACAACACUAGACCCUUAACCCACUGUGCCACAAGAGAACUCCCUAUGUAUGAUUUCUAAUUCAACUUCUUCUCCUCUCCUCUUUCUCCUAAUGACCGAGAUGUAUUGUCGUAUAUAUAUAUUGUAGGGUAUGGAAAAUCUGACAUAAGAAUUUUAAUACUUUAAGAGGUCCCCUUUUUAAGAGGGGCUUUUCCUUCAGUGUCUAGGACUCUGUAAGAGUUGCUCUGUAAGAGUUGACCUAGCAUUUGUGCUUCCAGGUAUAAUUCAAAAGAAUUGUAAACAGGGACUGAAUCACAUACUGGCACACCAGUGUUCACUGUAGUGUAAUCCAUAAUAGCCCAAAGAUGGAAACAACCCAGCGUCCACCAACAGAUAAAUGUGUGAACAAAAUGUGGUAUAUACAAAUGACAGAGUAGUAUUCAGCCAUAAAAAGAAAUGAAGUACAUGGAAACAGUAUAUUAAGCGAAAUGAGCCAGACAUAAAAAGAAAAACAUUGUAAGAUUUCACUCAUAUGAAAUAUCUAGAAUAGGCAAAUUCAUAGAAAUAAAAAGUAGAUUAUUACUGGUGGUCAGGGCCUGGGGGAUAGGAACUUAUAGUAUAAUGGUUAUAGAAUUUCUUUCUGGAGUGAUGGAAAAAGUUUGUUAAUAGCAGUGAUAGAUGGCCAACACUGUGAAUGCACUUAAUGCUGUUGAACUGCACACUUAAAAUUGUUUAAAUGGAUAUUUUUGUUAUAUAUAUUUUACCACAAUAAAAAUGUUCACAGGCACAUCAAAAACGAGUGGAAGGCAACUCCCCAGGGCAAGGGCCACCUCCUUCCCACUCCAUCCCUCUCCCUAACUGCCUUCUGUGAUCUUUCCUUUCCUCAUCACCUGACUCCCUCAAUAUCCAAUGAACAUCUGACCUCCAUUAAAGGAGAAUUUCCUGGGUUUCACUGCACAAGUGCAUCUGCUAUUCUCCAUACUUUGUAACACUUGUAUUAGCCACCACAUAGGCUAAUACUAAUCUACUGUUGAGUUAGUACCAUGUUACCACCAUGAAGCAGAGCAAAUAAUAAUUAGUAUAUAGCAACACACAGCCAUUUCCCCUCUGUGUGUGUGUGUUCAAACUAAAAAGAAUUAUUAUUUUAAAAAGAAAAAAUGCUAUCAAAUAUUUUCUACAACUCCAUUAGUUCUAAGAGGCCUCCCCCACGUCCCCCCCAAGUGUAACUUGAUACCAACCUUUCUGGAAAUCAGUGUAGCAGUGACUAUCAGACGCUUUAAAAAAAUAUGUAUACCCUUUAAUUCACCAAUCCCUCAUCCAAAAGAAGGACAAAGAUUUAUGCACAAAGCCACUGGGAACUAUGUCUGGUCACUUAUGAUGGAGCAUGAUAAUGGGAGAAAAAACAAUGUAUACAUGUAUGUGUAACUGGGUCACCUUGCUGUAUAGUAGAAAAUUGACAGAGCACUGUAAAUCAGCUACAAUGGAAAAAAACAAAAAUCAUUAUAUAUAUAAAAAAGAUUUAUGCACAAAGCUGUUUAUCAGUGUUAUCUGUAAUUGUAUAUAAUCAGAAACUACCUUGACUAAACCGUGGUGCAGCUAUACUAUCGAUGAUUAUGUAAGCCAUAAAAAAUGCAAUGACACAGAGUUCCCUUUGUGGCUCAGCUGUAAUGAACCCGACUAGUAUCCAUGAGUUUGUGGGUUUGAUCCCUGGCCUCGUUCAAAGGCUUAAGGAUCCGGUGUUGCCGUGAACUGAGGUGUAGGUCACGGAUGCAGCUCAGAUCCCGAGUUACCCAUGGCUAUGGUGUAGGCCAGCAGCUGCAGCGCCAAUUUGACCCACUAUCCUGGGAAAUUCUAUAUGCCAUGGUGCAGCCCUUAAAAGACAAAAAAGAAAAAAAAUGCAAUGACACUGACAAAUAUGUAUGUCUUAAUGUGAGCAUAAACAGCAGGAUGCAAAGUUGCAUGUACAUUAAUGAUCUCGAUUAUGAAAGAACAAAAUGAAUAAAACACUGGAAAGAAAUAUAUUACAAUGGUGUUGGAGUUGCUUCUAGUUAGGAAGAGUUUUCGUUUUUUGUUAUUUUUUAAAAUUUUUGUUAAAUUUCUUUUUGCAAUAAGCAUCUAUCACUGAUAAUCAGAGAAAAAAAAUAAUGGAAAAGCUGCCUUAAAUCCUUUCUGGUGUUAGAUGUGGUACCCCUCCCCCAGGACGCUGUUGGAAAAUGACAGUGGGACAUGAAAUGGAAAUUGCACAGUUAGUAGAAUUCUCCAGAAUGAUAGCCCUAGAAAAGAGGCAACAAGUCCCUAUCAUGCCACUGACCUUCCAGUUGAAGAACACUUUGGGGGAGAGAUUAAGGGUUAAGCAAAAAGUUAACAAAAAUGCUAAAAGGGGAAAGAAAACAUUUAGGUGGAUACUCUCCAUUUAGGUAUAAACCUAGAUAAUCCUUCAAGAUAUUCACACUUCUGGAGUUCCUGUCGUGGCACAGCAGAAACAAAUCCAGAUAGAAACCAUGAGGUCGUGGGUUCGAUCCCUGGCCUCACUCAGUGGGUUAAGGAUCCAGCAUUGCCAUGAGCUCUGUGGUGUAGGUUGCAGAUGCAGCUCAGAUCCCACGUUGCUGUGGCUCUGGGGUAGGCUGGCAGCUACAGCUUGAUUUAGACCCCUAGCUUGGGAACCUCCAUAUGCUGCAGGAGUGGCCCUAGAAAAGGCAAAAAGACAAAAAAAAAAAAAAAA